UCUGCGAAAAGCGUCGGUAAGGUGAUAUGAACCGUUACAGCCGGCGAUGUCCGAAUGGGGAAACCCAGUGCAAUUCGUUGCACUAUCGUUAACUGAAUACAUAGGUUAACGAGGCGAACCGGGGGAACUGAAACAUCUAAGUACCCCGAGGAAAAGAAAUCAACCGAGAUUCCCCCAGUAGCGGCGAGCGAACGGGGAGCAGCCCAGAGUCUGAAUCAGCUUGUGUGUUAGUGGAACGGUCUGGAAAGUCAGACGGUACAGGGUGAUAGUCCCGUACACCAAAAUGCACAGGUUGUGAACUCGAAGAGUAGGGCGGGACACGUGGUAUCCUGUCUGAAUAUGGGGGGAC
RNAcentral lists this ribosomal RNA (349 nucleotides) under Pseudomonas aeruginosa. RNAcentral describes it as "partial 23S ribosomal RNA". It matches the Rfam family "Bacterial large subunit ribosomal RNA", at positions 65 to 453 of the family's 2925-position model. Lineage: Bacteria; Pseudomonadati; Pseudomonadota; Gammaproteobacteria; Pseudomonadales; Pseudomonadaceae. The record is from RNAcentral.